Molecule: transfer RNA, 30 nt
Filed under: Tetracera portobellensis
Lineage: Eukaryota; Viridiplantae; Streptophyta; Magnoliopsida; Dilleniales; Dilleniaceae
Description: partial tRNA-His
Source: RNAcentral
GGCGGAUGUAGCCAAGGGGAUCAGGGCGGG